RNAcentral lists this transfer RNA (77 nucleotides) under Lycoris squamigera (surprise lily). Its description in RNAcentral is "tRNA-Ile". Lineage: Eukaryota; Viridiplantae; Streptophyta; Magnoliopsida; Asparagales; Amaryllidaceae. The record is from RNAcentral. RNAcentral also lists the same sequence under 26 other names.
CGCGCCCCUGAUAAUUGCGUCGUUGUGCCUGGGCUGUGAGGGCAGGAUGGCCCAGCUGCGCCAGGGAUAAAGAAUAG